This is a non-coding RNA of Anas platyrhynchos (mallard), 2594 nucleotides long. Lineage: Eukaryota; Metazoa; Chordata; Aves; Anseriformes; Anatidae. The record is from RefSeq and is a predicted model, not a curated record.
CACCAAACAAGUGGAUUAUUACAAAAGCUACAUAAAAACCUGCUUGGAUAACCUGGCUAGCAAGGGCAAGGUCUCGAAGAAGCCUAGGGAGAUGAAAGGCAAAAGUAGUAAAAAGAUUUCACUAAAAUAUACAGCAGCUCGACUUCAUGAGAAGGGAGUGCUUUUAGAGAUUGAGGACCUGCAAGUUAACCAGUUUAAAAAUGUGAUAUUUGAAAUCAGUCCAACAGAAGAAGUAGGAGAUUUUGAGGUAAAAGCAAAAUUCAUGGGGUACAGAUGGAAACGUUUAUGUUACAUUAUCAGGAUCUUUUGCAGCUGCAGUAUGAAGGCGUUGCAGUCAUGAAGUUGUUUGACAGAGCAAAAGUAAAUGUCAACCUUCUGAUCUUUCUUCUGAACAAGAAAUUCUAUGGAAAGUAACUGACCUCUGCUGGCAAGUCUGUGAAAGGGGAGACAAAUAGAAACCUGCAUAUAUGACUUGUAAUGAUUUAGCUAUGCAUCAGUAUAUGCCCAUACCUUGCUAAAAUAUAUCAAAUGUAUUAUGACAAAGGACUAAGAACCUCUUGUGAAUUGACAGUGCUGACUGAGUCUGUAGUGCGUUGCUUCUUGUACCUUUAUGACCUUUAUGUUCUACUUGGAAGGUCCCCUGAGAAUGUAUUUUUAUAUGGCACUGGGGAUUAAACUAUUAUUAGGAUAAACUUAGGGCUGCUUUAUUUGCCUAAUCAUGUUCUUUAUAAGUCUCGUAUUCUGGUUAUGUGUACAAAGAGAAAGAUGGCACUAUAGAGCAAUUGAUUUAUUGAUUUGCCUCAUGAAGGAAAAAAGUUAGAGAUUGUAUUCAGACUCCAGUUACUCUCUAACAGCAAUGACUGCAAUGAAAAAAUGGUUGAAGUCCAGGUAAUCCAUUUGUUUGUGAGCUUGUGGCAGUGAUGACAGCAAGCCAGUUGCUGAGAACGCAUAGGGUCUGGAGAAUCAUUGUGUCAUAUGGUUGCUGAACUACUCACGAUUAUGUGUUAUAGACACAUAGAACAGCUUUAGUGUCUUAUUUUUCUUCAUUUGUUUCUCUUAAUGACACUAUAUAAUAAUUUACAGAUGGCCCAUUACAUAGAAGGACUGUGGAGGACAUUUAUUACUGCAUAAGGAUGAAAAGAAGCCUUUUGGGAGGGGAAACUGAAAAAAUCUUAAGAUGUUAGUUUUUAGUGCUGCUUGCAAAGCAUUUAAAAUGUAUUUUUUUUUAGUUUAGAGCAAUGUUCCAUAUAUCUCUAUCUGAUUCAAUAAAUGUUAAGCUCAACCUGCAGACUUGUCAAAAAGUUCCCUUGGGGGAAGACAACUAUCUUAAAUAGGUCAGUCUUUAAAAAGUUAAUUUUUUUCUAGCUCUAUCGAGGUCCCCAUUUGUUUUACUAUUUAGUGGAUUUUUCACCACAGCAGUGGUGGUGCUGCCUGUUCUGCUAGAUUCAAUAAAAAUACGGAGACUCUUAAAUAAAUAAAUCCAAUCCUAAACUAAUUGUUUGUUCUGCCCCUUCUUCCACCCCUGUUUUCUUCUUAGUAUUUCCAUUUUUUUAGAAGGGACAUAACACUUAAUUGCAAAUUUGAAGUUACUCAAGUGUCACUUUCACUGUUUUUUCAGAUUACUGAGUGAAGUUGAACUGCCUUAUCUUGAUCUAUGUAAGCACUAGUUCAUUGGCUUAGAUCUUUGCUUAUAAAAGCCACUCACAAUAUUUGAAAUGGUUACAUUCCUGAGGAUAAUUUUUCUGUAAUCCUUUAAUAAGCACUUACGUCUUUUAACCUGCUAACAUCUAGACUGUAUUAAAUACGAUAUUUUAAUGUUGAUGCAUGCGGGGUCCAACCCAAUAACAACAACAACAUCCUUACAUAUCAAACUGAAGGUAGAUCUUUACAGUGCAGAUCAUCUGAAAGAGGGAGACUUCAGAACUGGAUUUCCACUGCUAUCGGAAGAAGAGAUGUGUAAUGGGAUAAAGGUCUUGACUUUUUUUUUUUUUUUCUUUAGCUGCUUCUGAAUUUGCUGUAUCAUAGAAGGACUUAAAAAUUACAUUCCUUUGAUCUCGGGAUGGUGAGAAUAAUGGUGGAACAUUAUUAAAUAUUAUUAAGAAAAUGCAGCUGUAGUCUGCAAGCUCUUGAAUCACAGAGAUUGAUUCCUCCAUUUUUUUUCUAAAUAAAACACUUCAAAUAUAUAUUUUUUAAACUACAGCUGUGGUCAGAUUUGGGAACAAGGUAAUGAGGUAUUAGCAGUUACCUUAUUCUAAUCAAGGAAAACAUCCUUAACAGGUGACUCUAUAAUACUUACCUCUUGCCUUGAAUUGGCAAAAAUUGGAAAAAAAAAUGUUUGCUUGAAAAUAAUUUUAAAAAAUGGAAGGAGUAUACUCAUUUUUGCUAACACUAUCAAACUAGAGAAAAAACUAUUAAAAGAUUCAGUCACAGCACUGAGUUAUAUGUAUUUUAUAAUUUAUUGGUGGCUUAGCUUUGCUUUACACCCUUGUAUUUAUGAUGAAAGUAGCUACAUGUAUAAGGCAAGUCUGUCUGUUGUUCUUUGCUGGUAAAGCGCCUUUGUAACUCACAUCUAAGUAAAAAGUCAUUUGUCCCCA